RNAcentral lists this ribosomal RNA (439 nucleotides) under Cherax leckii. RNAcentral's name for it is "partial 16S ribosomal RNA". It matches the Rfam family "Archaeal large subunit ribosomal RNA", at positions 2006 to 2644 of the family's 2987-position model. Lineage: Eukaryota; Metazoa; Arthropoda; Malacostraca; Decapoda; Parastacidae. The record is from RNAcentral.
GGCCGCGGUAUUAUGACCGUGCGAAGGUAGCAUAAUCAUUAGUCUUUUAAUUGAAGGCUGGAAUGAAGGGUUGGACGAGAAAUUAACUGUCUAGUGUUUUGAAGAUUGAAUUUAACUUUUAAGUGAGAGGGCUUAAAUGAAUUAGAGGGACGAUAAGACCCUGUAAAGUUUGUACAUCAGGGUUAAUGGGUAGAGAUUUAGGUUAAUAAGGCUAACUCUUAUGGGGGUGUUUAGUUGGGGCGACUAGGAUAUAAGUUAUCUAACUGUUUCUUUGUUGGAAUCAAUAAUAUUUGAGUUUAUGAUCCUCUUUAAGGAUUUCAGAAUAAAUUACUUCAGGGAUAACAGCGUAAUUUUUUUUGAGAGUUCUAAUCGACAAAAGAGUUUGCGACCUCGAUGUUGAAUUAAAAUUUCUUUGUGGUGUAGUAGUUACAAGAGAAGG